AUUGGAGUGGCAGAGCCGGGUACAAUGCAAAAGACCUAAACCCUUUACCCAGGGGUUCAAUUCCCCUCUCCAAUU
RNAcentral lists this transfer RNA (75 nucleotides) under Emys orbicularis (European pond turtle). RNAcentral describes it as "tRNA-Leu". It matches the Rfam family "tRNA". Rfam says of the family: Transfer RNA (tRNA) molecules are approximately 80 nucleotides in length. The record is from RNAcentral. Lineage: Eukaryota; Metazoa; Chordata; Testudines; Emydidae.